UCGAGAAUCUUCCGCAAUGGGCGAAAGCCUGACGGAGCGACACCGCGUGCAGGACGAAGGCCCUCGGGUUGUAAACUGCUGUCACGCUCUAGGAACCCCAUGCUGUUAACAGCGGCAUGGCUGACCAAGGCGAAAGGAAGUGGCGGCUAACUCUGUGCCAGCAGCCGCGGUAAGACAGAGGCCACGAACGUUGUUCGGAAUCACUGGGCAUAAAGUGCACGUAGGCGGCUAGGUCCGUCCAAUGUGAAAGCCCCCGGCUCAACCGGGGAAUUGCAUCGGAUACAGCCUGGCUUGAGGACGGUUGGGGUGAGUGGAACUCCUGGUGGAGCGGUGAAAUGCGUAGAUAUCAGGAGGAACACCGGUGGCGAAAGCGGCUCACUGGACCGUAACUGACGCUGAGGUGCGAAAGCUAGGGGAGCAAACGGGAUUAGAUACCCAAGUAGUCCCUGAGCGGGCUGGCAAGGCGCAU
Molecule: ribosomal RNA, 469 nt
Filed under: uncultured bacterium
Lineage: Bacteria
Description: bacterial SSU rRNA
Rfam family: Bacterial small subunit ribosomal RNA
Source: RNAcentral